ACGCUGGCGACGGCUACACAUGCGUUCAAGCGCGCCUCGGGUGAGCCGCGGACGGUAUUAGUAACGCGUGGGAACGUGCCCUUCUCUACGGAAUAGCCUCUGGAAACGGAGAGUAAUACCGUAUACGCCCUUUGGGGGAAAGAUUAUCGGAGAAGGAUCGGCCCGCGUUAGAUUAGGUAGUUGGUGGGGUAACGGCCUACCAAGCCUACGAUCUAUAGCUGGUUUUAGAGGAUGAUCAGCAACACUGGGACUGAGACACGGCCCAGACUCCUACGGGAGGCAGCAGUGGGGAAUCUUAGACAAUGGGGGCAACCCUGAUCUAGCCAUGCCGCGUGAGUGAUGAAGGCCUUAGGGUCGUAAAGCUCUUUCGCCUGUGAUGAUAAUGACAGUAGCAGGUAAAGAAACCCCGGCUAACUCCGUGCCAGCAGCCGCGGUAAUACGGAGGGGGUUAGCGUUGUUCGGAAUUACUGGGCGUAAAGCGCGCGUAGGCGGAUUAGAAAGUUGGGGGUGAAAUCCCGGGGCUCAACCCCGGAACUGCCUCCAAAACUGCUAGUCUAGAGUUCGAGAGAGGUGAGUGGAAUUCCGAGUGUAGAGGUGAAAUUCGUAGAUAUUCGGAGGAACACAGUGGCGAAGGCGGCUCACUGGCUCGAUACUGACCUGAGGUGCGAAGUGUGGGAGCAACGGAUAGAUACCUGGUAGUCACCCGUAACGAUGAAGCC
RNAcentral lists this ribosomal RNA (719 nucleotides) under uncultured Ruegeria sp. RNAcentral's name for it is "bacterial SSU rRNA". It matches the Rfam family "Bacterial small subunit ribosomal RNA", at positions 33 to 816 of the family's 1533-position model. Lineage: Bacteria; Pseudomonadati; Pseudomonadota; Alphaproteobacteria; Rhodobacterales; Roseobacteraceae. The record is from RNAcentral.